AGAUUGAACGCUGGCGGCAUGCCUAACACAUGCAAGUCGAGCGGCAGCGCGGGGGCGACCCUGGCGGCGAGCGGCGGACGGGUGAGUAAGGCAUCGGAAUCUGCCCUGAUGUGGGGGAUAACGUAGGGAAACUUACGCUAAUACCGCAUACGACCGAGAGGUGAAAAGCGGGGGGACCGAAAGGCCUCGCGCAGCAGGAUGAGCCGAUGUCCGAUUAGGCUGGUUGGUGGGGUAACGGCCCACCAAGGCGACGAUCGGUAGCUGGUCUGAGAGGAUCGAAUCAGCCACACUGGGACUGAAGACACGGCCCAGACUCCUACGGGAGGCAGC
RNAcentral lists this ribosomal RNA (330 nucleotides) under uncultured prokaryote. RNAcentral describes it as "bacterial SSU rRNA". It matches the Rfam family "Bacterial small subunit ribosomal RNA", at positions 26 to 352 of the family's 1533-position model. The record is from RNAcentral.